RNAcentral lists this ribosomal RNA (253 nucleotides) under uncultured bacterium. Its description in RNAcentral is "partial 16S ribosomal RNA". It matches the Rfam family "Bacterial small subunit ribosomal RNA", at positions 524 to 776 of the family's 1533-position model. The record is from RNAcentral.
UACGUAGGGGGCAAGCGUUGUCCGGAAUCAUUGGGCGUAAAGAGCGUGUAGGCGGUCCGGUAAGUCGGCUGUGAAAGUCCAGGGCUCAACCCUGGGAUGCCGGUCGAUACUGCCGGACUAGAGUUCGGAAGAGGCGAGUGGAAUUCCCGGUGUAGCGGUGAAAUGCGUAGAUAUCUGGAGGAACACCGGUGGCGAAGGCGGCAUCCUGGACCGGUAUUGACGCUGAGGCGCGAAAGCUAGGGGAGCAAACGGG